Molecule: ribosomal RNA, 481 nt
Filed under: uncultured bacterium
Lineage: Bacteria
Description: partial 16S ribosomal RNA
Rfam family: Bacterial small subunit ribosomal RNA
Source: RNAcentral
GACGAACGCUGGCGGCGUGCUUAACACAUGCAAGUCGAACGCUGAAGCCCUUCGGGGUGGAUGAGUGGCGAACGGGUGAGUAACACGUGGGUAAUCUGCCCUGCACUCUGGGAUAAGCCUUGGAAACGGGGUCUAAUACCGGAUAGGACACAUCGCCGCAUGGUGUGUGUGUGGAAAGUUCCGGCGGUGCAGGUUGAGCCCGCGGCCUAUCAGCUUGUUGGUGGGGUGAUGGCCUACCAAGGCGACGACGGGGAGCCGGCCUGAGAGGGUGACCGGCCACACUGGGACUGGGACACGGCCCAGACACCUACGGCAGGCAGGAGUGGGGAAUCUUGCGCAAUGGGCGAAAGCCUGACGCAGCAGCGCCGCGUGGGGGAUGACGGCCUUCGGGUUGUAAACCUCUUUCGACCGGGACGAAGGAUUCGUUUGACGGUACCGGUAGAAGAAGCACCGGCUAACUACGUGCCAGCCGCCGCAGUAA